UUCCUCCUCCGCAGAACCCCGCCUCCACUCACUCCUCCUCCGCCUCCAGCGCCACCUCGUAUCUCCUCAAUCCCGACAUGUCCUGGGUUCCGAACGUCUCCUGGGGAGAGGCAUGAUUGGAUCAAAUAUUCCCUAGCCCCAGGUCCCCUUCUCCGUCAUUCUUGGGAUGAGUCUGAUUAAAUCGCAGACAUUCAAUCAACAGCUAUGUACUGAGUGUCUACUUCAUGCAGGCACUGUGCUGAACACGGAGAUAUAGUGUGAAAGAAUACAUGCAGUCUGCACCUUCGAAGAGCCAUCAUCUGGGGUAGAGCUGGGACAGUCAAAAGAAGACAAUUAGAUCAUUACAAUAAAUGGAACAGGCUGGCUAGGGAAGAUAGAGGAUGCUGCACCAGAGUCAAGAAGGGCAUUAACCCAUUGUAGCAGUUUGGAAAUAGCUGCCUCAGAUCUCUGACGUUCCAGCCAAGGCCCACUACUCACCUACAGUUUGUCUUGGAGAAGCAAAAAAAGAGUCUUAUGGCUGGACUGGUUGUAUAGGAGAGAAUGACCCAAAAUGAGCAAGAGGAAAGUUUCCUCACCUGAAAUGGAAGGAAUGGAUACACUACCCUUUCACCCAUUUGACACCUUUAUUCUCUCUCAUAUCCAUCUUCCCGAGCCUGCACUACAUACAAACAACAGAUAGGUUAAACAGUGAAUGCCAGGUGGCUUUAUUGGAAGCACUGCAGUUUAGACAUGAAGAGGCUGUGAUCUUGCCACACUCACACUCUUGUUCACACAUUGGUACUUCUGCUCUGGUUGAGUCAGGUCUGGUGCAGAGCAGCCUGUUCUUUUCUUCUGGUCUUUGGUUCUCCAGGCCAAGGAGAUUCCCUUCACUUAGGCAAGGGCUUCCUCUGGUGUUGUCAUUGUUUAACAUGGGGCUUGCUCUUGGGAAGGAAGGAGAGGCAAAGUCCUGGGUUGGUUGGGUAGAAUCUUCAAUAGGGCCUUGGAAGUUGGAAGCAGGGUUGAGGGUUUUGUCUUGGCAAAGGACUACUUCUUCAGUUUCUGGAUAAUGUGGCACACCCCAGGCUUAUCUGGGGUGCUCAAAGCUAAUGGACCCUCAUUAUGGUGAACCUGGAGUCAGAAGUCAGAGAGAAUGGAGCCCUGGGACCCAGCUUCCUAGAAAGCUUUUUUGUGAGGGGCAAAGACUGGCAUUUAUCACUGGUUUUUGAGGAGAUUAAAACUCUGGAAUUUCUCAAGUACAAAUGGUCCCUGACUCAUGAUGAUUUGACUUAGGAAUUUUUGACUUUAUAAUGGUGCAAAAGCUGCAUGCAUUCAAUAUUUCAAAUUUUGAAGAUUGAUUUUUUUCCUAUCCCAGUGAUAUGUGUUACAAUACUCCUUGAGAUGCUGGGCAGUGUCAGUGAGUCCCAGCUCCCAGUCAUAUGAUCAUGAAGAUACAUAACUGAUGCUCUGCAGUGAGUACACUAUGAUAAACUAUGAUGCUUAGACUUAGGAUAUUUUCAACUUAUGAUAGGUUUUUAGGAUCAUAAUCCCAGUGGAAGUUUAGGAGUAUAUGUAAUUGAGUGCCUUUGGUAUUCGUGAGCCCCUUAGGUAAGUUUAUGCUAAAAGAUGAGAUGACUCAGGAUGGGAGCUUGUCACCAUAAAGAACAAUCAUGGUUAGAGGGUUGGCACUUUUAAGUCAGCCAGACCUUGGAAAGGAGAGAGAGGCUGGAGAUUGACUUUGGUAUGUGGCCAAAAAUUCAACCAAGGCUAUGUAAUGGUAUCUCAAUAAAAAUUGGACACCAAAGCUCACAGAACUUCUUGGUUGACAAACAUAUUGAUGUGUCAGGAGGGCAAUACAUAUCUUAUGUCCCCAGUGAAAGCACGAAAGCCCUGCAUUUGGCAUUCUCCCAGACUUUAUUCUAUGUGUCUUUUCAUUUGGACAUUACUGACUUACACCCUUUAUAAACAAUUGUAAAUAGCACUUUC
Long non-coding RNA from Marmota monax (woodchuck), 1962 nucleotides. RefSeq lists it as uncharacterized. NCBI's taxonomy places the organism in Eukaryota, Metazoa, Chordata, Mammalia, Rodentia, Sciuridae. The transcript has 2 exons. The record is from RefSeq and is a predicted model, not a curated record.